Molecule: ribosomal RNA, 316 nt
Filed under: uncultured Chloroflexota bacterium
Lineage: Bacteria; Bacillati; Chloroflexota
Description: bacterial SSU rRNA
Rfam family: Bacterial small subunit ribosomal RNA
Source: RNAcentral
GAUGAACGCUGGCGGCGUGCUUAACACAUGCAAGUCGAACGGGUUAGCUUUCGGGCUAGCUAGUGGCGGACGGGUGCGUAACACGUAGGUGACCUGCCCUGGAGUGGGGAAUAAUUCCGCUAACGCGGGACUAAUACCGCAUGUAUUCAGUCAUUCGUUUGGCUGAGCAAAGCCUUUGGGCGCUUCAGGAUGGGCCUGCGGCGGAUUAGGUAGUUGGUAGGGUAACGGCCUACCAAGCCGAUGAUCCGUAGGGGGCGUGAGAGCGUGACCCCCCACAUUGGCACUGAGAUACGGGCCAAACUCCUACGGGUGGCAG